Molecule: small RNA, 3029 nt
Filed under: Pan troglodytes (chimpanzee)
Lineage: Eukaryota; Metazoa; Chordata; Mammalia; Primates; Hominidae
Description: retained intron
Source: RNAcentral
GGAUGGGGACAGCCGAGAUGGCGGCGGCGGCAAGGACGCCACCGGGUCGGAGGACUACGAGAACCUGCCGACUAGCGCCUCCGUGUCCACCCACAUGACAGCAGGAGCGAUGGCCGGGAUCCUGGAGCACUCGGUCAUGUACCCGGUGGACUCGGUGAAGACACGAAUGCAGAGUUUGAGUCCAGAUCCCAAAGCCCGGUACACAAGUAUCUACGGAGCCCUCAAGAAAAUCAUGCGGACCGAAGGCUUCUGGAGGCCCUUGCGAGGCGUCAACGUCAUGAUCAUGGGUGCAGGGCCGGCCCAUGCCAUGUAUUUUGCCUGCUAUGAAAACAUGAAAAGGACUUUAAAUGACGUUUUCCACCACCAAGGAAACAGCCACCUAGCCAACGGUAUUUUGAAAGCGUUUGUCUGGAGUUAGAAAGUUCUCUUCUUCAACACGUCCCUCCCCAGGGUGUUCCUCCCUGUGACCCAGCCGCCUCGACUUCGGCCCGCUUGCUCACGAAUAAAGAACUCAGAGUUGUGUGUGCAAUGCACACCCAGACACACGCACACACAUGCGCGCGCACACACAUGCUUUUUUCUGUUCCCCUCCGCUUUCUGAAGCCUGGGGAGAAAUCAGUGACAGAGGUGUUUUGGUUUUAUUGUUAUGUGGGUUUUCUUUUCUAUUUUUUUUUGUUUUGUUUUUAAACAUUCAAAAGCAAUUAAUGAUCAGACAUAGGAGAAACCCUGAAUAGAAACAAAACUUUUGAAUGCUGGAUUCAAAAAAAAAAAAAGUUAUCUGGACAGCUUCUUUGAGACUAUUUAAAAACUGGUACAACAGGUCUCUACAACGCCAAGAUCUAACUAAGCUUUAAAAGGUCAAGAAGUUUUAUGGCUGACAAAGGACUCGCGCAACGCAGAAGGCCUUUCCCACCUUAAGCUUCCGGGGAUCUGGGAAUUUUACCCCCAUUCUCUUCUGUUUGUCUGAGUCUCAUCUCUCUGCAAGCAAGGGCUGAAAUCAUUUUGUUUGGUUGUUUUGAGGGAGAGAGGCGGGGUGGGGGGGUGCAAAUCUGCCAGCAGCUCUUACAUAAGGCAUGUUUUAUUGCGGAGGGCUGAGCUUUUAUUUUCUCCUCUCCAGUGGGGUUGGCUUUUGUUGUUUCUUGUUUGGGUUUGGAAUGGAAAUAUGGAUAGCAGCAUAAAGUACUUUUAUUUUGACAAAAUUCAUUUUUUUCAACAAUGGAGACAUAGAUUUGACCAACAAUAACUUCUCCCCCUCUCUUUUUACUCUGCUCAAAAAGCAUCUCUCCUCCCAUUACCCAACCUUGGUCAUAAGUGUGCCUGGCUGGUUUGCAGAUAUUUGUUCUGCUUUGUAAAAAUUGGCCAUUAGUGCAUUUAUUGAGAUGAUCUCUAAAGAGCUAUGCCCUGACCUACCCCUGAUUCUAUGACAUUGGGGCCCUUCUUUUGCUGAAACUGCCUUACAUAAUGGUUUUACUCCUUGAAAGAGAUUUGACGGAAUCCAUUUUAUGCCAAGUGCUGCCCUGCACUGUUUCUGCAAUGUGUGGUGUAUGCUGUGGUGAUCUUGCUGGGAAUGAUUAUAAGUGUGUGUGUGGUGGGGGAGUGGGUACUACAUGCAUUGCUGAAGAGUCAUCCUGGUGUUCCUCAUUCCUCCCACCUUCCCGUGGUCAUUUUAAUUACGGGGCAGUGUCACCGCAAAGGGAGGAAACUCAAAGCCGAAAGCAAAAUUCCAGGCCUGAUUCUGGCUUUUGAGGUUCCUGGUUCUUGAAGCCAGGCCUGACCCGACUCUCAGAUGGGGUCAGUCCCGUCGCUUUGCAGACUGACCCUGGAAAUCUACAAAAUGCAGAUUCUCCUGAUUUCCUCUUUUCUUGCCCAGUUUUUUUUUUUUUUUUUUUUUUUUAAAGCCUGGAUUUUAACCAGAUUUUCUUUUUUCCCCCUUCUCAGCUGUAGAUAUGAUAUUAUCUCCUUUCAGGGCCCCAGCUUAAGGGCAAAGUGAGUUAAUGUGUAGACAAAGGCGAGGGACAAGAGAGAGUUAACAUCUAGACAGUGGAAAAAGCCAUGGUGUGUGGUUUCUGGGAACCACCAACACUUGCAGGUUUAGCUUUUUCCCAGGGUUGACUACAAGAAAGAAAACCAUGUUUUUGCAAGAUUAAAAUGUGGUUGAGUGUGCCUAAAUUAACCAUCCCCAUUUUUAUCGUAUUUCCACCGUCACUUUAGGGUUUUAAGAGUCAGUGCUCACCUGGGCGGAGCUGGUAGUACAUUUUGCUUCUUAGAAAGCUAAGUCCUGGGUUCCGUCCGAUUUUAGGUUCCAGGAACUUCCUGAGAACACCCGAUCGCAGAGGGUAAUUUUCUGGAGUUUGUUUUGCAGGGAUAGCUGGGAGUAUGGCCACCCUGCUCCACGAUGCGGUAAUGAAUCCAGCAGAAGGUAAUGUUUCAUGGUCCCAGGGAGGGGCAGUAGGGGAUGUGCAAAGGGGCACAAAAAAUGGUUGUGGGGGAGUGGAGAGGACUGAAGGUGGGCAGAGCGGCUCCUAGUCUCCAGUCAGAGCGGCUCCUAGUCUCCAGUCAGAGCAGACAGGAGAAUUGAAUUUUUUACUACGUUAUCAAAGGCCUCAAGAAAGGACGUGAACAUAAGAGUUUUUGGUAUUCCUGUGCUCGGAGCUACUCAAAGUGUGUUCUACAGACCAGCAGCAUCAGACAUCUUGAGGGGUGUUGGAAAUGCUAAUUCUGAGUCUGGGUGCAGUGGCUCAUGCCUGUAAUCCCAGCAUUUUUUGGGAGGCCGAGGUGGGCGGAUCACUUGAGGUCAGGAGUUUGAGACCAGCCUGGCCAACAUGGAGAGACCCCCAUCUCUACUAAAAAUACAAAAAUUAGCCUAGUAUGGUGUGUGCACCUGUAAUCCCAGCUACUGGGGUGGCCGAGGUGGGAGAAUCGCUUGAACCCAGCAGGCAGAGGUUGCAGUGCACCGAGAGUGUGCCACUGUACUCUAGCCUGGGCCACAGAGCCAGACUCCAUCUCAAAAGGAAAAAAAAAAAAAAAAA